This 519-nucleotide ribosomal RNA is filed under the name uncultured bacterium. Its description in RNAcentral is "partial 16S ribosomal RNA". It matches the Rfam family "Bacterial small subunit ribosomal RNA", at positions 28 to 506 of the family's 1533-position model. The record is from RNAcentral.
GACGAACGCUGGCGGCGUGCCUAAUACAUGCAAGUCGAACGCACUCUCGUUUAGAUUGAAGGAGUUUGCUCCUGAUUGAUAAACAUUUGAGUGAGUGGCGGACGGGUGAGUAACACGUGGGUAACCUGCCCUAAAGUGGGGGAUAACAUUUGGAAACAGAUGCUAAUACCGCAUAAAACCUAACACCGCAUGGUGUAGGGUUGAAAGAUGGUUUCGGCUAUCACUUUAGGAUGGACCCGCGGUGCAUUAGUUAGUUGGUGAGGUAAAGGCUCACCAAGACCGUAUUGCAUAGCCAACCUGGGGGGGAAAUCGGCCAACCGGGGACUGAAACACGGCCCAGACUCCUAGGGGGGGCAGCAGUGGGGAAUCUUCCAAAAUGGACGAAAGUCUGAGGGAGCAACGCCGGGUGAGUGAAGAAUGUUUUCGGAUCGAAAAACUUUUUUUUUGGAAAAGAAUGUAUCUGAUAGUAACUGAUCAGGUAGUGACGGUAUCCAACAAAAAAGCCACGGCUAACUACGU